Long non-coding RNA from Clupea harengus (Atlantic herring), 2304 nucleotides. Lineage: Eukaryota; Metazoa; Chordata; Actinopteri; Clupeiformes; Clupeidae. The record is from Ensembl.
AGAGCUUCUGUGGAAACAUCAGAACACUCAGAGACCCUGGAAUCUGGUUUAGACCAAUGAAGUCCAGAGCUGCCACGGAAACAUCAGAACACUCAGAGACCCUGGAAUCUGGUUUAGACCAAUGAAGUCCAGAGCUUCUGUGGAAACAUAAGAACACACAGAGACCCUGGAAUCUGUCCUCAGCCAGUGAAGUCCAGAGCUGUGGCUGAAACCUCAGAGCACCCAGAGGAGGAUGUGGAGAGGCAGCCGCAGUGAGCUCACCAAAGACAGGUGGACUUGUGCUUGUGUCCCAGUCUGACCCAUCUUCUGCCUCUUCCCUGACUGCCAUUCCAUUCAUGUUUUAUUUCCGGAACAUUCUCCAGAGUGUGCUCAUGUUACUGUCAUAUCCUUUUGUUUUAAAGCAGUCACACACACACACACACACACACACACACACACACACACACACACACACACACACACACACACACACACACACACACACACACACACACACACACACACCUAGCAUCUGUCAGAGAGCUGAAUCAUUCUGUCAGUUUGUCAUGGUUGGCAGUGUGCAUUAAUCCCUGCUCUGUUCAGGGCGAUGGGUUUCUGUCGAACCAUGCAAGACUUUGAGCUCUUAAACUGCCGUCUCACUGCCCUCUCAUUCUCUCUGUCAUAUUCGGGCGUCUGCUUUUCUUCCGUUUCAAAAAGCCGGCCGUCAGCGUUUCCAAGAAAGUGGAAUGGCGUUCUCUAACUUGGCCAGCUGAUACCUUUUGUCAGAGUGAUUAAUUUUCUUCCGAAACACCCAGCGGUCUGGACAGCGUCUGUUUUGAUAGCUUAAUUUCCAUUUAUUUUAUUUAUUGAUAUAAUCCAAAACAGCUUUUUUAAUCAAGAGUUACGCUGACACAUUCGGGAAUCAGAAAUGCCUUUCUCACACAACAAGCAUGCGUUGGAGGAUGUUCUCAGGAUUCUUGGGUUGAAAUUGCUGUGGUUCACAGCAUGUUUUCUCUCAGACAUCGUGUGUGUGUGUGUGUGUGUGUGUGUGUGUGUGUGUGUUUGUUUGUUUAGAGUGUGUGUGUGUGUGUGUCUGUCUGUGUCACUGUCAUGUGUGCUAUUGUUAUUUAUCCAUCGUGAGUUAUUUGUUGUUUUUGACAGAUUUUGCCUUAAGUAACUGUUUACAUCUUCCCUGCUUACCUCUCCAAACAAUACAGCUCUGUUUGAAAUUAAGUGGGAAAAAUAUGUUUUGGUUAAAUAAUAAAAAAAAAGGCACAAUGUUUGAUAAUAAGUUACUGCUGGAGUGUUUGAAUGGAAUCUGUUGUGAGUUUCUAGUCCAGGUCUGAGUUGUAUAAGGCAAGUGUAUAAGGCAGUGUGUGGAUAUGAGAUGAAGUGUAUAAGGCAGUGUGUGAAUAUGAGUCGAAGUGUAUAAGGCAAUGUGUUGAUAUGAGUCUUCAAAACAACAGAUUCUCAUCUUUACCACUUCAGACUAAAUUUGUGUAUGAGGUCAAACAGCGUUAAAGAGGCCUGUCAUUAGAGUAACCUAGGCAAGCUGCAUAGAUGUUUUCAGAUCCUACCGUAAGGUGAAAGGUCACACAUGAACUUGUAAUGGCACUUCCCCUGAAGUGUGCUUGAGGUACCGUGUUAUGUGUUCACAUGAGGUAGAAGCAGGGUUCAGGUAGGUAGGUGGGGAUCUGGGCGAAAAACCAACCCACUGGUAAAUCUUCCCUCCCUUUUGGAUUAAUGAUGAUAAUACGUCUACGUUUUUGGUUAAUCAUGAACAGACUUGGUAGACCAUACCCCUUUGAUUUCUUUUUUUAAUGAAUCAACCACCAGGUGGAAGUGUGUUCAACGGGACGUCCAAAAUGUCAACACUUACACACCUUUCGUCCACCUUUCCCAUACAUCAUCACACACAAUGAUUUCCUCAAGAGACUCUUGGUUAUCGGAUGGAAUGAAAUACUUUUACUUGAAUGACUUCUGAAAGAAAGAGCAUACUGGACGUGUUUAGGGUGGACGAGUUUCCAUCUGUCUGCCAUUAUUUCACCCCGAAGAUCAGUCAGUGGACAUGUUGGUUGUUCUUAGACUACAGAACCUGCAGGGUGGAACCCUGGCGACUUGCUUUUGUGCACAUCUUCCUCAAACAGCCUUAAGGCCAGAGUUUAUUUUGUGUUUUUGUGCUUGUUUAAACAAGAGGAUUAAAGAAUAAAGAACAUAUCUAUCAUCAACACAGUGGUUUGGUUACGUUGGCUUUUGUCUUUCAGCCCUUUUGGGGCUUUUUCUCUCUCUGGUGAACCAUUAAUACAGACCAAACUGAAACACGUG